Molecule: microRNA, 22 nt
Filed under: Gallus gallus (chicken)
Lineage: Eukaryota; Metazoa; Chordata; Aves; Galliformes; Phasianidae
Description: gga-miR-1656
Source: miRBase by way of RNAcentral
UCACCAGCGGGCAUUGGCAUCA